This is a long non-coding RNA of Papaver somniferum (opium poppy), 1396 nucleotides long. RefSeq lists it as uncharacterized. The transcript has 3 exons. The record is from RefSeq and is a predicted model, not a curated record. Lineage: Eukaryota; Viridiplantae; Streptophyta; Magnoliopsida; Ranunculales; Papaveraceae.
GAACUGCUGAGAAAGCCACUGCGAAGAAGAACUGCAACAUUUUGGAUAAAUUAAAUGAACUAUGACCUCGCUUGCUUUCCCUUCUUCUUCUUUCUUUGUUUUUGUUUCUGGGAAGAAGAGUCUAGUUGGUUCUCAUCUACUCUGCCUUAUUUGCGACGACUGUUAAGUAAAAACACCUUUACCUGUCACGUUGUGUAUUAUUUUAGGUGAUAUAUGGAUAUGAUGUGUGUAACGCGUCGUGUGGUUAGCAGCAUUAGUCGUGUGACGGUUGUAAUGCGGCUACCAUGGAGUGCAUGUUAGUAUCGAUCGACAACAAUUUUGGUCAUCAUAAAUGCAAAAUUUGAGUUCAUUUACUACUUUUUAAGUGGUCUUGGACUCCUGGGUGUGUGUUGACAUCGUAUUAAGUAGAAAUUUAUGUUUAGUCCCAAAGUUAAUGGGUUUUGGACAAUCUAGUCCUGCUCCCUCAAGUUUAGUACUAAGAGGUCCAAAUUUGCCCAAUCUCGAAUGAGUCGGUCCUUUCAUGAACGACUUAAUCCAAAACAACAUUUUUUAUUGACAAAAAUACCCGUCGGGUAUAAUUUUUUACUAUCGUAGGUUUUAUUUCUUCAUUUUCAUGUCGAGCGAGCUUUCCAGAGCAUAGAAGAAAUCCUGAAAAGUAAAAUCUAAUCUCUCUGACUUCUGAAACUUUAAUCUGAGAAUCAAACAAAUGGUUAUUGUUAGUACAUAUGUACGAAGAUUAACUCGCAAUCGAGGAGAAAAGUUGACAAGAUUCCAUUUUCAUUCUUCAUCUUCUCUGGAAUUUUAUGUGGCGAUGAAGAAGAUUUCUUCGAUUCUCUUCUUAUUCAUCUCGAUCUCUCUACUUUUCAGGAUAUGGAACAAGUAUCGAGAAGGAGAAGACGCUGGCGAUGAUGAAACCAUAUGGUGUUUCUGGCAGCUAGACACAAUCCAUAAAGAAGAUGAUUCUGGAUUUCAAUUUCAGUAUUCUCCUUGAGACGACUAUUCAAUUAGAUGAAGACAGUGCAACUCACUUUUAUGCUGAACAUUCUGAACGAAGCUUCUUUAACAACCUUCUCAAAUACAUGACAAGAUGUGUUGCUUCCAAAGGUGAAGAGGCUGGUGAAUGUGACAAGUUCUCCAAAUAUUAUCGUUCCCUCUACCCUGGUGAAUGGGUAAGUAAUAUUCUUUUACGAUCUUCAUUGUUUGUUCAUUAAGUUAACAUUUUAAACCAGACACUAGACAUUGUAAGUAUUAACAAUUGGUAACUUUGCCAUCAGGUCACAUUUUCCGUCAUUUUUCUAUUGUACAUAUUAAUAUGUUCAGUAAAAUUUAACAAACACUUUCUUAAUCUUUUAUGUAUGAAGAUGAGCAGUGUCUCUCUCCUUUUAGCUGAGCUAGA